UCGAAAAUAACACAACACACGCAACAACAAAAUAGUGCAAAAAGUUCAACAACAAACAUCUAAACAACAAACAAAAAAAUGUAAUUUAAUUUUUAUAGCCAAAAGAAGAAGGAAAUCUGUAGAGGAUGGAAACUGGAUGUGGUACCCAUUGGUGGGUAAAUGGAUCGAAUGGAUCAUUUAGUUCUUAAGAAGCUGAAAAAACAAAACUCUAAGAUCUUCUGAAACGUGAGCAAUUGGUUGACUUAGUGAUACAAAAAAUGAAUGCAUUAAUAAUAUUCGUAUGCGUAUGUUUUUUAAUCAACACCACAAAAAUUCGAGCUUAAAUUAUUUUCAAAACACAAAAAAAACUAAAGAUUUCUAU
Long non-coding RNA from Drosophila subobscura, 361 nucleotides. RefSeq lists it as uncharacterized. The record is from RefSeq and is a predicted model, not a curated record. NCBI's taxonomy places the organism in Eukaryota, Metazoa, Arthropoda, Insecta, Diptera, Drosophilidae. The transcript is spliced from 3 exons.